UGGGGAAUAUUGCACAAUGGGGGAAACCCUGAUGCAGCCAUGCCGCGUGUGUGAAGAAGGCCUUCGGGUUGUAAAGCACUUUCAGUUGUGAGGAAAAGUUAGUAGUUAAUACCUGCUAGCCGUGACGUUAACAACAGAAGAAGCACCGGCUAACUCCGUGCCAGCAGCCGCGGUAAUACGGAGGGUGCGAGCGUUAAUCGGAAUUACUGGGCGUAAAGCGCACGCAGGCGGUUUGUUAAGCUAGAUGUGAAAGCCCCGGGCUCAACCUGGGAUGGUCAUUUAGAACUGGCAGACUAGAGUCUUGGAGAGGGGAGUGGAAUUCCAGGUGUAGCGGUGAAAUGCGUAGAUAUCUGGAGGAACAUCAGUGGCGAAGGCGACUCCCUGGCCAAAGACUGACGCUCAUGUGCGAAAGUGUGGGUAGCGAACAGGAUUAGAUACCCCCGUAGUC
Molecule: ribosomal RNA, 448 nt
Filed under: uncultured bacterium
Lineage: Bacteria
Description: bacterial SSU rRNA
Rfam family: Bacterial small subunit ribosomal RNA
Source: RNAcentral